This 363-nucleotide transfer-messenger RNA is filed under the name Escherichia coli. It matches the Rfam family "transfer-messenger RNA". From Rfam's summary of the family: Bacterial tmRNA, also known as 10Sa RNA or SsrA, is named for its dual tRNA and mRNA-like properties. Its role is to liberate the mRNA from a stalled ribosome. To accomplish this part of the tmRNA is used as a reading frame that ends in a translation stop signal. The record is from RNAcentral. Lineage: Bacteria; Pseudomonadati; Pseudomonadota; Gammaproteobacteria; Enterobacterales; Enterobacteriaceae.
GGGGCUGAUUCUGGAUUCGACGGGAUUUGCGAAAUCCAAGGUGCAUGCCGAGGGGCGGUUGGCCUCGUAAAAAGCCGCAAAAAAUAGUCGCAAACGACGAAAACUACGCUUUAGCAGCUUAAUAACCUGCUUAGAGCCCUCUCUCCCUAGCCUCCGCUCUUAGGACGGGGAUCAAGAGAGGUCAAACACAAAAGAGAUCGCGUGGAAGCCCUGCCUGGGGUUGAAGCGUUAAAACUUAAUCAGGCUAGUUUGUUAGUGGCGUGUCCGUCCGCAGCUGGCAAGCGAAUGUAAAGACUGACUAAGCAUGUAGUACCGAGGAUGUAGGAAUUUCGGACGCGGGUUCAACUCCCGCCAGCUCCACCA